Molecule: ribosomal RNA, 293 nt
Filed under: Shigella sonnei
Lineage: Bacteria; Pseudomonadati; Pseudomonadota; Gammaproteobacteria; Enterobacterales; Enterobacteriaceae
Description: partial 16S ribosomal RNA
Rfam family: Bacterial small subunit ribosomal RNA
Source: RNAcentral
AAAUUGAAGAGUUUGAUCAUGGCUCAGAUUGAACGCUGGCGGCAGGCCUAACACAUGCAAGUCGAACGGUAACAGGAAACAGCUUGCUGUUUCGCUGACGAGUGGCGGACGGGUGAGUAAUGUCUGGGAAACUGCCUGAUGGAGGGGGAUAACUACUGGAAACGGUAGCUAAUACCGCAUAAUGUCGCAAGACUAAAGAGGGGGACCUUCGGGCCUCUUGCCAUCGGAUGUGCCCAGAUGGGAUUAGCUAGUAGGUGGGGUAACGGCUCACCUAGGCGACGAUCCCUAGCUGG